GGAGGUAUAGCUCAGUGGUAGAGCACAUGCUUAGCAUGCAUGAGGUCCUGGGUUCAAUCCCCAGUACCUCCU
Molecule: transfer RNA, 72 nt
Filed under: Camelus bactrianus (Bactrian camel)
Lineage: Eukaryota; Metazoa; Chordata; Mammalia; Artiodactyla; Camelidae
Also listed under: 2 other names
Rfam family: tRNA
About the family: Transfer RNA (tRNA) molecules are approximately 80 nucleotides in length. Their secondary structure includes four short double-helical elements and three loops (D, anti-codon, and T loops).
Source: Rfam by way of RNAcentral